ACCAGGUGUAGUGGCAUACACCUGUAGUCCCAGCUACUCAGGAGGCUGAUGUGGGAGGAUUUCUUGAGCCCAGGAGUUUGAAGCCAACCUGGACAACACAGUGAGAUCCCAUCUCAA
This 117-nucleotide small RNA is filed under the name Marmota monax (woodchuck). Lineage: Eukaryota; Metazoa; Chordata; Mammalia; Rodentia; Sciuridae. The record is from RNAcentral.